This 253-nucleotide ribosomal RNA is filed under the name uncultured bacterium. Its description in RNAcentral is "partial 16S ribosomal RNA". It matches the Rfam family "Bacterial small subunit ribosomal RNA", at positions 524 to 776 of the family's 1533-position model. The record is from RNAcentral.
UACGUAGGUGGCAAGCGUUAUCCGGAAUUAUUGGGCGUAAAGAGCGCGCAGGUGGUUAAUUAAGUCUGAUGUGAAAGCCCACGGCUUAACCGUGGAGGGUCAUUGGAAACUGGUUGACUUGAGUGCAGAAGAGGGAAGUGGAAUUCCAUGUGUAGCGGUGAGAUGCGUAGAGAUAUGGAGGAACACCAGUGGCGAAGGCGGCUUCCUGGUCUGCAACUGACACUGAGGCGCGAAAGCGUGGGGAGCAAACAGG